ACGAACGCUGGCGGCGUGCUUAACACCUGCCAGUCGCACGGAAAGGCCCUGCUUUUGUGGGGUGCUCGAGUGGCGAACGGGUGAGUAACACGUGAGUAACCUGCCCUUGACUUUGGGAUAACUUCAGGAAACUGGGGCUAAUACCGGAUAGGAGCUCCUGCUGCAUGGUGGGGGUUGAAAAGUUUCGGCGGUUGGGGAUGGACUCGCGGCUUAUCAGCUUGUUGGUGGGGUAGUGGCUUACCAAGGCUUUGACGGGUAGCCGGCCUGAGAGGGUGACCGGCCACAUUGGGACUGAGAUACGGCCCAGACUCCUACGGGAGGCAGCAGUGGGGAAUAUUGCACAAUGGGCGGAAGCCUGAUGCAGCAACGCCGCGUGCGGGAUGACGGCCUUCGGGUUGUAAACCGCUUUCGCCUGUGACGAAGCGUGAGUGACGGUAAUGGGUAAAGAAGCACCGGCUAACUACGUG
RNAcentral lists this ribosomal RNA (467 nucleotides) under uncultured bacterium. RNAcentral's name for it is "partial 16S ribosomal RNA". It matches the Rfam family "Bacterial small subunit ribosomal RNA", at positions 29 to 507 of the family's 1533-position model. The record is from RNAcentral.